This is a long non-coding RNA of Gordionus sp. m RMFG-2023, 686 nucleotides long. RefSeq lists it as uncharacterized. The transcript has 4 exons. NCBI's taxonomy places the organism in Eukaryota, Metazoa, Nematomorpha, Gordioida, Chordodea, Parachordodidae. The record is from RefSeq and is a predicted model, not a curated record.
CUGGCUACAUAGUGGUACCGUCCACUAUAAUAAAACGGAUAUACAUCAUGCAUAGGAUCUAUAUACUAAUGAAUAUACUUUGUGCACGUCCCACUCCUGGUGGGCGAUGUAGGCGUGGCAAUGAAUGAAUGAAUGAAUUAUUUUAUCCUAAUUUACUUUGUAGAAACAAUGAAGACUAUAGUAGAAGUUGAAUAUUGCUCAAGAUGAGGUUACGAAGGCAAAUUUAAAAAACUGAAGGAUGCUAUUCUUAAAGUUGAUCCUCAAGCAGAAGUUACUGGUAGUGUUGGUCGUGUAUCGUCAUUUGAAAUCAAGAUUAAUGGGAAACUUAUAUUUUCCAAGCUUUCAAAUGGUAAUUUUCCUGAUCAAAAUAAGGUAUUGGCUCAUUUAUUGAAUGCAUCCAAAGGGCUACCUGUCAGCAAACUUGAAUAAUAAAUGAAUAUGAAAAAAUACAAAUUAUCCACUGGAAUUGUUUACAAAAAAUUUAUUGGUAAUCAAGAAUUAAUAUGACGAAACGUUUUAGUCAAACAUUUAUGAUUAACGUUUUUGAGCAAAAUAAAUUUCAAUUAUUUUUGGAAUUUAAACUAAUUGUUACCAUUAUUUUAAAAACGUUUUAUUAGUUUUCAUUGCUUUUUUAAAUGCUUACAUACACGUAUAAUUUAUCUUGCGCAUUAUAAUUGUAAUUAACU